RNAcentral lists this ribosomal RNA (253 nucleotides) under uncultured bacterium. RNAcentral's name for it is "partial 16S ribosomal RNA". It matches the Rfam family "Bacterial small subunit ribosomal RNA", at positions 524 to 776 of the family's 1533-position model. The record is from RNAcentral.
UACGUAGGGGGCUAGCGUUGUCCGGAAUCAUUGGGCGUAAAGCGCGUGUAGGCGGCCCGGUAAGUCCGCUGUGAAAGUCGGGGGCUCAACCCUCGAAAGCCGGUGGAUACUGUCGGGCUCGAGUACGGAAGAGGCGAGUGGAAUUCCUGGUGUAGCGGUGAAAUGCGCAGAUAUCAGGAGGAACACCGGUGGCGAAGGCGGAUCUCUGGGCCUUACCUGACGCUCAGGUGCGAAAGCUAGGGGAGCGAACAGG